This 124-nucleotide small nuclear RNA is filed under the name Cucumis melo (muskmelon). RNAcentral describes it as "U5 spliceosomal RNA". It matches the Rfam family "U5 spliceosomal RNA". Rfam says of the family: U5 RNA is a component of both types of known spliceosome. The precise function of this molecule is unknown, though it is known that the 5' loop is required for splice site selection and p220 binding, and that both the 3' stem-loop and the Sm site are important for Sm protein binding and cap methylation. Lineage: Eukaryota; Viridiplantae; Streptophyta; Magnoliopsida; Cucurbitales; Cucurbitaceae. The record is from Rfam by way of RNAcentral.
AAUUGUGCGGUGGGCAUAUAGCGAACUAUUCUUUCGCCUUUUACUAAAGAUAAAGAACACUGUGUGCUUGCCGCCAUAAAGUGGCAUAUGCCUAUUUUUGGAGGCCCUUCCUUUGUGGGGGGGU